GCUGCUGCUAUUGCUACUGCUACUCACUCUCUCUCUCUCUCCCUCUCUUUCUCCCGCCUCUGUUUUGCACUCAUUCACUCACUCCCUCCCUCACUCACGCACAGGAGCUUGCUGUGCUGCACCACGCUCUGUUAUUCUUUCUCUCUUUCUUUUUUUCUUUCUCUCUCUCUCUCUCUCUCUCUCUCUCUCUCUUUCUCUGUGCGUCUGUCUGCCCAAGAAUGGUCCAGUCGGUGCCUGGGGCUCUGCUGUCGCGGCCUGCCACCCUCCUCUGAGUCACAUACACACACAGACACACACAUACUUACACAAACACGCACUCACAGACACACACACACAGACCUAGGCAGACACACGUACACACAAAGUCACAGGCAAUUCUUGGCAUUCAACUAUAUGAGAGCAGCUCCUGGGGACCUUGCAGGCUGAGGAGUCCCGGGUGCGCAGCGAGAGAGCGUGGCUGACAGCAGAGCCCUCUGACAUUUUUAGAAACAUGAUG
Clupea harengus (Atlantic herring) is the source of this 496-nucleotide long non-coding RNA. NCBI's taxonomy places the organism in Eukaryota, Metazoa, Chordata, Actinopteri, Clupeiformes, Clupeidae. The record is from Ensembl.